Long non-coding RNA from Penaeus chinensis, 526 nucleotides. RefSeq lists it as uncharacterized. The record is from RefSeq and is a predicted model, not a curated record. NCBI's taxonomy places the organism in Eukaryota, Metazoa, Arthropoda, Malacostraca, Decapoda, Penaeidae. The transcript is spliced from 4 exons.
CGCCGACGGAGACGACCGCUUGGCACUUGCUAGUCGGUGUUGUGACCCGCUGCUGGCCCUGCACUUCCCAGCGUCUCCUCCCAGCGGCGCCGAUCUCUUGCCCUCGAGCUCGGUUGGGCGCUUCUGAAGUGACAUAAUGAAUUAAUACAUAGUUAUUUUAAAGAAGAGAAAACAAAAACUGAAUCAUAAUCGUUAUAACAUUAUAAAACAACAACAAACAAAAAAAAACCUUUCAAGUGCGCGAGGUGUUGCGAACUCACGGGCGAAAAGAAACAAAAACUCAGCGACAUCUUGGUGCUCCCGAAGAGGACUUUCAGCUUAAGACACUCAACUGCUCCCAGCCAUCUGACAUUUUACAGAUUACUUCCUCGGCUGCCAUGACGGAGGCGGAGGAGAGGCCACGAGCGCGAGGAGCCGUCACAGAAGCCGCCUCUGGCCAGGACGCUGCGUGCUAGUGACGCGGGCGAGGGAGCGAAGGACGGCGAGGCGAGGCGGGGCGGACGCGGACCUCCUCGGCACCCACUGA